AAGGUGGAUUUGGUAACUGCCUCUAUCAACAGAAUGCACAAGAGUGAUGUUUUGUGACUGUCAGUGCCAAGUCAUAAAAGAUGUGAUUUCCUCCUGGUUCCGUCUCCCCUCUCCUUUGGACUCAGCCACUAUGUUGUGAGGAAGCCUAGGCCCCAUGGAGGGGCCACAUAGAUGCAUUCCAGGCAGCAGCCCCAGCAAAGGUCUCAAUCAACCACCAGUGUGUGAGUGAAGACACCUUCAGAUAAUUUUGCUUCCCAGACAUCAAGUCUUCCGGCUGGGUCCAAGACAUCACAAGGCAGAGACAAGCCCUCCUCUCUGUGCACUGUUGGAAUUCCCCACCCACAGAAACUGUGAGUGUAAAAAAAGGUUGAAAGCGAUGUAAAUUGCUCUUAUCUGAACCACAAUGAAUUCACAUAUUCAAGUUGGCUUCUUGGGAAAUUUCAGGCCACAAAUGGCAGUGACGUGAUCAGGAGCAGCAACACAUGCCACUUCCAUCCAGACAGAAGGACCCCAGGUCAAGGUCUGACAGGAGGAGCAGGAGCCAUCAAUGAGAGCAGACCUCAGAAGGCUGACGGAGGGGAGAGGAGCACCAUCCGCAGCCCCAUCCUCUGGAUGCUGUGGGAAGAAGUCCACAAAAUACUGCCCCUUGGAGUGAGUCGGUAGCAGAGCGCUUGCUGCUGGCUGCAAAUACCCCAUCAGAACAUGUUUGGGGUGAUUCUUGGACCUGGUUUCAAUUUCUUUUCUGCCAGUCAGCAGUUGUGCUUGACUCACAAUUUGUUGCCAUCUCCUGAAUUAAACUCAGGAAACAGGAUAAAGAUCAGAACCACAUUGUAAAAGCUUCCUUAUGGUUCCUUUUUUGCUAAGAUAAAUAAUGAGCAGCUCUGAUCCACCUCUCUGGAGAGCUCAGAGCACACUACCAGGAGCUCCUAUCCGCAGAGUGAGCACAGGCAACUGGUGAUCUCUUGAUAAGGAAAGACAGCAGUGUCCAAUCUACCCUGCCUUGCACGGAGCCCCAAGUGCUCGCCCAGACUAUGUUGCUACCUAAAGCACAUGGUAAUUGCGUGAUGCUAACCAAAGCAGACCCUCACUCAUUAGAAACAUCUGCUUUGCAUUAUUUACACAGGAAAAGUUUUCCUCUUUACUGAGCCUACCCAGUUCAAACUUAAGUGGGAUUUGCCAGCUAUCUGGCUAAUUUUAUGAGCAAUAAUAAAGAUUGGUGAACACUUGG
This is a non-coding RNA of Chlorocebus sabaeus (green monkey), 1228 nucleotides long. The record is from RefSeq and is a predicted model, not a curated record. NCBI's taxonomy places the organism in Eukaryota, Metazoa, Chordata, Mammalia, Primates, Cercopithecidae.